GGGGGGGACCUGGCGGGGCAGCUGGCGGGCCGACCGCCGGUGGCGGCCGGCCUCCUGCUGGGCGGGGCGGCGGCGGCGCGGGCGC
This 85-nucleotide non-coding RNA is filed under the name Heterosigma akashiwo. Lineage: Eukaryota; Raphidophyceae; Chattonellales; Chattonellaceae. The record is from RNAcentral.